AGGACGAACGCUGGCGGCGUGCUUAACACAUGCAAGUCGAGCGGAAAGGCCACUUCGGUGGUACUCGAGCGGCGAACGGGUGAGUAACACGUGAGUAAUCUGCCCCUGGCUUUGGGAUAGCCACCGGAAACGGUGAUUAAUACCGGAUACGACCGCUCCUCGCAUGAGGUGGUGGUGGAAAGUUUUUCGGCCAGGGAUGUGCUCGCGGCCUAUCAGCUUGAUGGUGAGGUAAUGGCUCACCAUGGCUUCGGACGGGUAGCCGGCCUGAGAGGGUGACCGGUCACACUGGGACUGAGACACGGCCCAGACUCCUACGGGAGGCAGCAGUGGGGAAUAUGGACAAUGGGCGGAAGCCUGAUCCAGCAACGCCGCGUGAGGACGACGGCCGUUCGGGUUCGUAAACCGUCUUUCGCCUGUGACGUAAGUUUUGUCUUUUGGCUAAGUGACGUAACAGGUAAAGAG
RNAcentral lists this ribosomal RNA (462 nucleotides) under uncultured soil bacterium. RNAcentral's name for it is "bacterial SSU rRNA". It matches the Rfam family "Bacterial small subunit ribosomal RNA", at positions 26 to 489 of the family's 1533-position model. The record is from RNAcentral.